This 83-nucleotide transfer RNA is filed under the name [Eubacterium] nodatum. Its description in RNAcentral is "tRNA-Leu(gag)". It matches the Rfam family "tRNA". From Rfam's summary of the family: Transfer RNA (tRNA) molecules are approximately 80 nucleotides in length. Their secondary structure includes four short double-helical elements and three loops (D, anti-codon, and T loops). Lineage: Bacteria; Bacillati; Bacillota; Clostridia; Peptostreptococcales; Anaerovoracaceae. The record is from RNAcentral. RNAcentral also lists the same sequence under 5 other names.
GCGGCUGUGGCGGAAUUGGUAGACGCGCACGCUUGAGGGGCGUGUGGGCAACCGUGCUGGUUCGAGUCCAGUCAGCCGCACCA